This 537-nucleotide long non-coding RNA is filed under the name Lathyrus oleraceus (garden pea). Its description in RNAcentral is "Pisum sativum (pea) long non-coding RNA (PSAT_LNC014610)". Lineage: Eukaryota; Viridiplantae; Streptophyta; Magnoliopsida; Fabales; Fabaceae. The record is from RNAcentral.
AAAUGAUUAAAAUUGUCUUGUAUUUUUCAGCUUGAGAGGUGGAUAACCGUAUGAUCAAAUAUGACAACAUUUGAUCCAUAGAUCGAAGGGAUCAGGUAUCUGAUCCUUUGGCACAAUUCUAAAUGAUUCUAGCAACUUCAUGAAUGUGUCUUUUGGGUUGGGCUCUCGUGCAAUUAGGCAUCCAAUCUUUUGGGAAUUCGCUCGACCCAAAACAGUUUUCUCCAAAGACUUUGCUAUUACUUAGUAAUGUGAGGGUUGAGAUUGUCGGAUCGUCUCAUUUGCCAUUUUUUUCUUUCCGAUUAUUUGUAAUCAUAGAUGUUUAUGAAUAUUUUCUUUUUUUCCUUGUGUGUAUGAUUUUAUUUCAUCACUUAUCUUCUUGAAUAGUUUUGCAUAAUCAUUUUAGUCUCCAAUAAUUUUGUUUUGUCAUUCUAUGUCUUGAAUGAUUUUAUUUUAUAAUUAUGUGUUGCCAAUGAUUUUGUUUCAGAAUUAUAAUAUCUAAUGAUUUUGAUUCUUCAUUCUAUACAAUGAAUGAUUUUA